Molecule: long non-coding RNA, 932 nt
Organism: Bacillus rossius redtenbacheri
Lineage: Eukaryota; Metazoa; Arthropoda; Insecta; Phasmatodea; Bacillidae
Exons: 3
Source: RefSeq, a predicted model, not a curated record
CAAAGUCUGUCAUGUUUCCAUUUAGUGACCACAAAGCAAAUAUUUGUGACAAAAUGCCAUAUUUGGAACACUGCCUAACUGCGUAUUGUGAACGGGUCCCCGGAAAAGUGUUAUGACAAAUGUUUUUUUUUUUUUUUUGGUUAGGUACUACAAGAAAGACAUUGAAGAAGUUUCAACACCAGGAAAAAAGAGGAAAAAAAGGCCACAGGAAGGAAAGUCACUUGACACAGUCGACGAUUUCACAGUAAAUGCAAUCAGGAAUGCAAUUUACAGGAUGUACGCUGAAGGUUUGAAUGUUACAGUCGACACCAUUUUGAAAGAAAUCAGGGAAAGACAAAUAGAUUAUUAUGGUGGAAGAUCAAGUCUUCAUAAAUUGUUAAAGAAGAUGGGAUUUUCAUGGACAACUGUUGAUGGACGAAAAGCUUUGAUAGAGAAUGAAAACAGUAUUGCAGCGAAUAGAUUUCUUGAGAAAGUAUAAAGAAGAAAAAGAAAGAGGUGCCAAUUUCAUAUUUGUUGAUGAAACAUGGAUUUUCCAGAGAGGCAAGGCAUUAAUUUAUUUGAAAAUUUGUUCUGUGGUCCAAUACAAAGUAUUUCAUUUCCAUUUCAUAUAUUUUUCAGGAACUGUAUCAAAGUCAUGGCAGGACAAGAGUCUACAAUCUGCGAAGAGACGUACUGUUGGAGAUGGUAAAAGGUUUAUUGUUGUUAAUGCUGGAGGGCGCACUGGCUUUGUGCCAGGAGCAGGAUUACUUUUUGUUUCAGGUCAGAAGACUGCAGACUACCAUGGCGAGAUGAAUGGGGAAACUUUCUUGAUGUGGUUUGAAGACAUGUUGGUGCAUCUUGAGGAACCCAGUGUCAUCAUAAUGGACAAUGCUUCAUAUCACAGCACCCAGGUUGAGAAAACACCUACAACGAACUGGACCAAGGAUGCACUG